AUUGAACGCUGGCGGAAUGCUUUACACAUGCAAGUCGAACGGCAGCACGGACUUCGGUCUGGUGGCGAGUGGCGAACGGGUGAGUAAUGUAUCGGAACGUGCCCAGUCGUGGGGGAUAACGUAGUGAAAAUUACGCUAAUACCGCAUACGAUCUAUGGAUGAAAGCGGGGGAUCGCAAGACCUCGCGCGAUUGGAGUGGCCGAUAUCAGAUUAGGUAGUUGGUGGGGUAAAGGCCCACCAAGCCAACGAUCUGUAGCUGGUCUGAGAGGACGACCAGCCACACUGGAACUGAGACACGGUCCAGACUCCUACGGGAGGCAGCAGUGGGGAAUUUUGGACAAUGGGCGAAAGCCUGAUCCAGCCAUUCCGCGUGCAGGAUGAAGGCCAUCGGGUUGUAAACUGCUUUUGUACAGAACGAAAAGGUUUCUACUAAUACUAGGAGCUCAUGACGGUACUGUAAGAAUAAGCACCGGCUAACUACGUGCCAGCAGCCGCCGUAA
RNAcentral lists this ribosomal RNA (500 nucleotides) under uncultured bacterium. RNAcentral's name for it is "partial 16S ribosomal RNA". It matches the Rfam family "Bacterial small subunit ribosomal RNA", at positions 30 to 523 of the family's 1533-position model. The record is from RNAcentral.